Molecule: ribosomal RNA, 218 nt
Filed under: Serratia marcescens
Lineage: Bacteria; Pseudomonadati; Pseudomonadota; Gammaproteobacteria; Enterobacterales; Yersiniaceae
Also listed under: 1 other name
Description: partial 16S ribosomal RNA
Rfam family: Bacterial small subunit ribosomal RNA
Source: RNAcentral
UUAAUUGAAGAGUUUGAUCAUGGCUCAGAUUGAACGCUGGCGGCAGGCUUAACACAUGCAAGUCGAGCGGUAGCACAAGAGAGCUUGCUCUCUGGGUGACGAGCGGCGGACGGGUGAGUAAUGUCUGGGAAACUGCCUGAUGGAGGGGGAUAACUACUGGAAACGGUAGCUAAUACCGCAUAACGUCGCAAGACCAAAGAGGGGGACCUUCGGGCCUC